This 468-nucleotide ribosomal RNA is filed under the name uncultured bacterium. RNAcentral describes it as "partial 16S ribosomal RNA". It matches the Rfam family "Bacterial small subunit ribosomal RNA", at positions 28 to 507 of the family's 1533-position model. The record is from RNAcentral.
GACGAACGCUGGCGGCGUGCUUAACACAUGCAAGUCGAACGGAAAGGCCCUGCUUUUGUGGGGUGCUCGAGUGGCGAACGGGUGAGUAACACGUGAGUAACCUGCCCUUGACUUUGGGAUAACUUCAGGAAACUAGGGCUAAUACCGGCUAGGAGCUCCUGCUGCAUGGUGGGUGUUGGAAAGUUUCGGCGGUUGGGGAUGGACUCGCGGCUUAUCAGCUUGUUGGUGGGGUAGUGGCUUACCAAGGCUUUGACGGGUAGCCGGCCUGAGAGGGUGACCGGCCACAUUGGGACUGAGAUACGGCCCAGACUGCUACGGGAGGCAGCAGUGGGGAAUAUUGCACAAUGGGCGGAAGCCUGAUGCAGCAACGCCGCGUGCGGGAUGACGGCCUUCGGGUUGUAAACCGCUUUCGCCUGUGACGAAGCGUGAGUGACGGUAAUGGGUAAAGAAGCACCGGCUAACUACGUG